UACGUAGGUGGCAAGCGUUGUCCGGAUUUAUUGGGCGUAAAGAGUGCGUAGGUGGUCUUGUAAGCGUGGGGUGAAAGGCAGUGGCUUAACCAUUGUAAGCCCUGCGAACUGUGAGACUUGAGUGCAGGAGAGGAAAGCGGAAUUCCUAGUGUAGCGGUGAAAUGCGUAGAUAUUAGGAAGAACACCAGUGGCGAAGGCGGCUCUCUGGCCUGUAACUGACGCUGAGGCUCGAAAGCGUGGGGAGCAAACA
This 250-nucleotide ribosomal RNA is filed under the name uncultured bacterium. Its description in RNAcentral is "partial 16S ribosomal RNA". It matches the Rfam family "Bacterial small subunit ribosomal RNA", at positions 524 to 774 of the family's 1533-position model. The record is from RNAcentral.